This 468-nucleotide ribosomal RNA is filed under the name uncultured bacterium. RNAcentral describes it as "partial 16S ribosomal RNA". It matches the Rfam family "Bacterial small subunit ribosomal RNA", at positions 28 to 507 of the family's 1533-position model. The record is from RNAcentral.
GACGAACGCUGGCGGCGUGCUUAACACAUGCAAGUCGAACGGAAAGACCCUGCUUUUGUGGGGUGCUCGAGUGGCGAACGGGUGCGUAACACGUGAGUAACCUGCCCUUGACUUUGGGAUAACUUCAGGAAACUGGGGCUAAUACCGGAUAGGAGCUCCUGCUGCAUGGUGGGGGUUGGAAAGUUUCGGCGGUUGGGGAUGGACUCGCGGCUUAUCAGCUUGUUGGUGGGGUAGUGGCUUACCAAGGCUUUGACGGGUAGCCGGCCUGAGAGGGUGACCGGCCACAUUGGGACUGAGAUACGGCCCAGACGCCUACGGGAGGCAGCAGUGGGGAAUAUUGCACAAUGGGCGGAAGCCUGAUGCAGCAACGCCGCGUGCGGGAUGACGGCCUUCGGGUUGUAAACCGCUUUCGCCUGUGACGAAGCGUGAGUGACGGUAAUGGGUAAAGAAGCACCGGCUAACUACGUG